GUGCUUGUUUUGACAGCACAUAUGCUAAAAUUGGAACAAUUCAGAGAAGAUUAGCAUGGCCCCUGUGCAAGAAUGACACGCAAAUUCAUAAAGUGUUCCAUAUUGUU
Molecule: small nuclear RNA, 107 nt
Organism: Callithrix jacchus (white-tufted-ear marmoset)
Lineage: Eukaryota; Metazoa; Chordata; Mammalia; Primates; Cebidae
Source: Ensembl